This is a non-coding RNA of Clostridium puniceum, 358 nucleotides long. It matches the Rfam family "transfer-messenger RNA". Rfam says of the family: Bacterial tmRNA, also known as 10Sa RNA or SsrA, is named for its dual tRNA and mRNA-like properties. The record is from Rfam. Lineage: Bacteria; Bacillati; Bacillota; Clostridia; Eubacteriales; Clostridiaceae.
GGGGGCGUUUUGGCUUCGACGGGGGUGGGAUAGGGUUUGUUAAGCGAGUCGAGGGACGCAUGGAGCCUCGUUAAUAAAGUAUGCAUUAAAUGUAAACGCAGAAGAUAAUUUUGCAUUAGCAGCUUAGUUUAAAGCUGUUCAUCAGCCCAGGUUGCCUACGGCUUGGAUCACUGGUGUCAUUUAAGUGGGAAACGAAGUUUAGCAAAGCUUUGAGCUAAAGGGGUAUUAAUGAAGCUACCGGAAAGUAUAGCCUGUCUAAGGGCGAUGCUUUUGGGGAAUCUUAAAACUUAGACUGCACUCGGAGAAAGGCAAAUUCAGCUGCUUUCGGACAGGGGUUCGAUACCCCUCGCCUCCACCA